This 253-nucleotide ribosomal RNA is filed under the name uncultured bacterium. Its description in RNAcentral is "partial 16S ribosomal RNA". It matches the Rfam family "Bacterial small subunit ribosomal RNA", at positions 524 to 776 of the family's 1533-position model. The record is from RNAcentral.
UACGUAUGGAGCAAGCGUUAUCCGGAUUUACUGGGUGUAAAGGGAGCGCAGGCGGCUUUGCAAGUCUGAUGUGAAAGGCCGGGGCUCAACCCCGGGACUGCAUUGGAAACUGUAAAGCUAGAGUGCCGGAGAGGUAAGCGGAAUUCCUAGUGUAGCGGUGAAAUGCGUAGAUAUUAGGAGGAACACCAGUGGCGAAGGCGGCUUACUGGACGGCAACUGACGCUGAGGCUCGAGAGCGUGGGGAGCAAACAGG